UUAUUCUGGUUAUGGCGUUUGAAGGCAAAUAACACUUUUAACAUGUUUUUGAGAAAUCAUAGUAAUUCAAUUUGCAUAUGUAAUUAUUUAUUUUUUUCUGAAAAAUUAGUGCUAUUGUAUUUAAAAUUAAAGAACUAUGGGUCUAUCUCGUUUAUUUUUUACAUCGACACCUUGCAUUCUAACAAUUCCUUUUGAAUUUUAUGGCCACCAAUCAUACGAAUUUGAUUGAUUAUAAUGAAUAUGAAAUACUUUAUACUACAUUGAUUACUUUAACGGCCAUCGCAGUUAGCAAUCGAGUAGUAAAAUAUCUAUGUGUAAAAAUUGUUAUUGAUUCAAUUUUAUGAAAC
This is a long non-coding RNA of Musca domestica (house fly), 347 nucleotides long. RefSeq lists it as uncharacterized. The transcript is spliced from 2 exons. Lineage: Eukaryota; Metazoa; Arthropoda; Insecta; Diptera; Muscidae. The record is from RefSeq and is a predicted model, not a curated record.